This 441-nucleotide ribosomal RNA is filed under the name uncultured bacterium. RNAcentral's name for it is "partial 16S ribosomal RNA". It matches the Rfam family "Bacterial small subunit ribosomal RNA", at positions 338 to 795 of the family's 1533-position model. The record is from RNAcentral.
CCUACGGGAGGCAGCAGUGGGGAAUAUUGCACAAUGGGCGAAAGCCUGAUGCAGCGACGCCGCGUGAAUGAAGAAGGCUUUCGGGUUGUAAAGUACUAUCAGCAGGGAAGAAAAGAGUAGGGUCCUUACUGAGAAGCACCGGCUAACUACGUACCAGCAGCCGCGGUAAUACCUGGGGGGCCAGCGUUAGCCGGACUUACUGGGUGUAAAGGGAGCGGAGACGGUGCGGCAAGUCAGAAGUGAAAGGCAGGGGCUUAACCCCGGAACUGCUUCUGAUACUGGCAUGCUAGAGUGCUGGAGAGGUAGGUGGAAUUCCUAGUGUAGCGGUGAAAUGCGUAGAUAUUAGGAGGAAUACCAGUGGCGAAGGCGGCCUACUGGACGGUAACUGACGUUGAGGUUCGAAAGCGUGGGGAGCAAACAGGAUUAGAUACCCGAGUAGUC